RNAcentral lists this long non-coding RNA (1437 nucleotides) under Chinchilla lanigera (long-tailed chinchilla). Its description in RNAcentral is "lncRNA (ENSCLAG00000027888.1)". The record is from RNAcentral. Lineage: Eukaryota; Metazoa; Chordata; Mammalia; Rodentia; Chinchillidae.
GAGGGUGGGGCAGGAAGGACAGCUGGAGGAACUGAGAGCAACACCCUGAUGCAAAGGAUAAGUAGAGCUGAAGCAGGCAGAGAAGAAGUCUGUGGGUAUCAGUGGGGUAAUAACGUUAGAGGAAGGAAUAGCAAAUUCAAUGUGUCAGUGAUUAAAGAAAGUAGCACAAGUUCAAGGAUUUGAACAUAACGCGGCUGAAGGCACAGAGGAUGCCCCGCUUACUAGCUCUGUGAACUUGAAUAAGCUGCCUGAGAUACUUUGUCAGGUUUCUCUGAGACACAGUCUCCCAUUUGAAAAACAAAACGAUGCAUACCUCACAGAGUUGUGAGAAGUAAUGAAAGGAGCAGUGACAGAAUCUAGUUUGGUGUCUGACUACAGGAGAUGCUCAGUGUACUUUAGGGUUCUUAUAUAAUGAGAAUUUAGCAGCAAACAUAAACAUGUACUGCAGAAGGGAGCUGCUUUAAAAGAUUGACAUUUUCUAGGUUCAGGGUUACUACAGCAAUUAUUUGCAUUCCACCGUUCUUACGCUGUUCCCCAUGCUUGCAGGUGGGGCCCUCAGUUUGCUUUUCUUUGCAUCUAUCAUAGAUAUUUCCAUGAGGUGGAGCUGUGGUAGGUUCACGUCUCAACUCUUCUACUGACUGCUUAAAAAGAGUCAUGCCUAAAGCUCAUUAACCAAGGCUGAAUCCCAGAAUGCUGCUUCUUGUGGAUGGUGAGGACACGGAGAUGAGCAUUUUGCAGGUUUGGCAUGCCAUUGGAAGGUGCCAUUCUCAUGGAUUCCUCAUAGACCUUUCAUGGAUCCUGACAAUCUUUGAUUCUGAACCAGCAAGAUGUGGCUCAGUGCUUUGAAGACAACCUUGACCCUGGAUAGGAGCGUGCUGUGUGGACAUAAAUGCUGGUGCUACCCUGGUCAUCUCAGAUGCCUGAGGAAAAGGCCAAGGAAUUUCAAAUUUCUCUGUCUUUACCUCAUAUACUACUACAAUCUGGAUCUUGUAAGUCCCCUGAAGACCCAUCUGUUGAAGCCUUGGUAUUAUUGGGAAAAGGUAGUUGGAUCUUUAGAAGAUAGAGCCCGUUGGGGUGAAGUUAGAAAGUCAGAUCUCUAGGAGUACAUGCCUAUAAUGGGAACUAUAAAAUAUCAAUCUCUUCCUCUUUUUAAUUACUGACCAUCAGAUAAGCAGCUUCCUUGAUAAGGUGAGAUGCUUUUGUCAUGAUAUACAGUACUGCCUCACCAAAGGCUUAAAAGCAGUGAUCCAACCAACCGUGGACUGAAUCCUUCAAACCUAUGAACCAAAAUAAACCUUUACUCUUAUAUGUUGAUUAUCUUGGGUAUUUAGUUAUAGUAACAGAAACCUAACAUAGACAUGAAGCCAACACUAUCAAGUCUACCUCUGGAUCUCUUAUUAAAUACAAAUAAAUCCUUUUUAUUUAAUCCACUGUAAG